GACGAACGCUGGCGGCGUGCUUAACACAUGCAAGUCGAACGGAAAGGCCCUGCUUUUGUGGGGUGCUCGAGUGGCGAACGGGUGAGUAACACGUGAGUAACCUGCCCUUGACUUUGGGAUAACUUCAGGAAACUGGGGCUAAUACCGGAUAGGAGCUCCUGCUGCAUGGUGGGGGUUGGAAAGUUUCGGCGGUUGGGGAUGGACUCGCGGCUUAUCAGCUUGUUGGUGGGGUAGUGGCUUACCAAGGCUUUGACGGGUAGCCGGCCUGAGAGGGUGACCGGUCAAAUUGGGACUGAGAUACGGCCCAGACUCCUACGGGCAGCAGCAGUGGGGAAUAUUGCACGAUGGGCGGAAGCCUGAUGCAGCAACGCCGCGUGCGGGAUGACGGCCUUCGGGUUGUAAACCGCUUUCGCCUGUGACGAAGCGUGAGUGACGGUAAUGGGUAAAGAAGCACCGGCUAACUACGUG
This 468-nucleotide ribosomal RNA is filed under the name uncultured bacterium. RNAcentral's name for it is "partial 16S ribosomal RNA". It matches the Rfam family "Bacterial small subunit ribosomal RNA", at positions 28 to 507 of the family's 1533-position model. The record is from RNAcentral.